CAGUCAGCGCGGGAGAGGCGGGAACCAUGUGGGCAGGGAGGCAGUCAGAGGGCAGGCUGGACGAAGAGGCAGGAGGCCCACCCUGGAGCCAUUCCUGCCUCCCUUUCAUGGGGUCGCUGCAGCCUGGGGAGUGGGAGGGAGGAGCUGCAUGUGGAUAUUUCACUUCCUGCAACACCAGCCUGGCUGCCAGCUGGGCCCUGCUUCCUGACUGCCCACACCACACCAAAUCCACUCUGGAGGGGUGCUUUCUCCCGUGGCCCUGCGUGGCUUGCUGUGCCUCCUACUGCUCGAGACUGGAUGUGGGCCACCAGUAUAGCAUGGCCGCUAAUAGAGCAGUGUAGGUCCGUGUCCAGGAACUGAAGCCGGGCCAGCGAAGCGGAGCACGCUGAACUUAACCGCUGGGCCGCAGGGGCUGGCCCUGAGGCACGUUGAAGAGCACCCAGUUGCAUCAGCAUUUCCAUUUGGACUUCAAUUCGAGUUCCAUUUUUUUCCUGUAUUGAAUCACAUCUCCCUGGAAGUUAAUCAGCUUCUGUUCAAAGUCAGCAUGGAGUCCCUGGCCAACUGGUUCCUGCCUUCACGAUUAGUCCUGUGCUCCGCAUUGGUCACACUAGGCCUCUCACUGCAUUAAAACUUCUUCCAUCUAUGCCAAGGGAUGCGACAAUUUCCUCUUCAUUCAUUUGUCUCGUUCGGGGUUUGAUAGGCAAUCCUUUUGCACGAACUUCAGUAUGUUGGUAAAACUUCAUUUACUAGUGAGGGUCUUGCUUUCCUAGUUCUGAAAAGCACUUGGUUGCUGCUUUGCAAACAAUAUGGCCUCAUGUUCAUUCCUCCAGUGGCAAACGUUUGCUUCACUCAUACCAAAAUUAACCCCCACUCUGCUUCUUUGCCUUUCUAAGUACAAAAUAACCUUUCAUUACAAUACUGAACCAUAGUAUAAUCUUUUCGAAGACAUCGUAAACAGCAUGUACAUUUAACGUGGUAUCAACAGUGCAUAUUGCUCAACAGAAAUGAUGACAAUGUGAAGAGCGUGUUCAAUUUGCACAUGCACAAGCGAUGACAGCAGUGAUGUCACAACUGCUGCGUGGCUGACACUGACGCCAAUUUUAGAUACACUACAA
Molecule: long non-coding RNA, 1115 nt
Filed under: Equus caballus (horse)
Lineage: Eukaryota; Metazoa; Chordata; Mammalia; Perissodactyla; Equidae
Description: lncRNA (ENSECAG00000058157.1)
Source: RNAcentral